CGUGUUGAUAGGCGCCGCGGAACACCUGCGUCCCUCGCGGGUGCACGAGUUCGCGGUACUCCGCGAACUGCUUGGGCUCGGCCCCCUUCAGCACGUC
This 97-nucleotide transfer RNA is filed under the name Agromyces bauzanensis. RNAcentral's name for it is "tRNA-Ala". Lineage: Bacteria; Bacillati; Actinomycetota; Actinomycetes; Micrococcales; Microbacteriaceae. The record is from RNAcentral.